This is a long non-coding RNA of Cyprinus carpio (common carp), 1343 nucleotides long. NCBI's taxonomy places the organism in Eukaryota, Metazoa, Chordata, Actinopteri, Cypriniformes, Cyprinidae. The record is from Ensembl.
AUGGUAUGUAUAUAUGUAAUCAAUGCCAGCUUGAAGUUACAACUAUUCAGGUUUUUUUAUGUAUUUUUUUUAAUUGCAGCGACCAAAAAGAAGACUGAGGUUGCUGGCACUGGGGGAGGGCCACCACCAGCCAGCUUCACUCCUGCAGAGGAGCUGGCUUUGGAAAUUAAUAAGGGGAGGCCCGUCCUUGAGGGAAUAGAGGGGGGGACAUCAUCUAAAAUGAUAUCACGUAGUAUAAGGAGUGAGUAUAUAAAAGAUUCUGUAUGCUUUAUGGAUCCACCAGACAUCAUGUUGCCUGGAGAAGGCCCAUCAGUUGAGGAGGAUAAGGAGACUGUGUCUGUAUGUUCAAGGAGGCCUGAGGUAGUCACAGGUUCCAUGUGAUACUGUAUUGAAUAUUAAAAAGUGUACUUGUUUGAUAAAAUGAUCAUAAUGUGUUUUCAGGAUGCUGACACUGCUCUAGAGCCCUCUCAGUCUGGGACCACAUGUGACAAAAGUGAGUAUUAAGAAAUGAAAACAAUGUGACAAGAGUAUUCAAUGAAAUAACUUAAAUCUAUGUUGCUACAGAACCCAGAAAACAUAAAAGGAGUGUAUAAACGCUACCUCCUUAAACAAAUGGAAGCGAUUGAUAUCGACAUCCAGUAUAAAAAAAACUGAAGAUGAGGAAGUUGGAGCUGGAAAUUCAACAGCUACAGAAAAAUGCAAGUAAAAAAAAAAAAAAAAAAAAAAAAAAAAAAAAAAAAAACACAUUACCUUUUUGAUGGUGUCUCGUAUAAGUCUGCCUGUUUCGUUUUCUUCCAAUACUGCUUCAUUGCCCCAGUCUUCCUCUUCAACAAUCCUUGGUUGCCUCUCUCUCCUCAGACAAGCAAUGUUAUGCAGCACUACACAAGCAACUACAAUGUCACAUGCCCUAGGUGGAGUCACUCUGAGGUGCUUCAGGCACUGAAACCUUGACUUUAUCAGCCCAAAUGCCAUCUCUAUACGACCACUUGUGCGUGCAUGGGCAAUGUUGUAGCGGUGCUGUGCCUCUGUCUGGGGCUCCUGAUAGGGAGUCAAGAGGUAAGGCAGGCAUGGGUAUCCCUUGUCUCCCAGCAAAACUCCUGAGAAUUCUCCUGCAUAGACAGAAUGAAUAUAUAUAGAUAUAUAAUGUAGUUUUUUUUCUUCUUUUUUUUUAAGACUUUUUGCGAUUUAAGUGAUUACUAGCAUACCUCUUGCUAGUUGCUGGUAGAGAGAUGAGGCUCUAAAGAUUCUGGAGUCAUGCACAGAGCCUGGCCAUUUGGCCUCUACAUUUGCGAUGAUGCAAUCUGCAUCACUAAUCCUCUAAAAUAAAUUAAACCUGUAGGUCA